GCUUACGAUCAUACCACGCUGAAUAUACGCGAACUCGUCAAAUCUCGCAAGUCAAGCAGCGUCGGGCCUGGUCAGUACUUGGAUCGGAGACGGCUUGGGAAUCCCAGGUGUCGUAUGCU
This is a non-coding RNA of Steinernema glaseri, 119 nucleotides long. Lineage: Eukaryota; Metazoa; Nematoda; Chromadorea; Rhabditida; Steinernematidae. The record is from Rfam.